CCUACGGGUGGCAGCAGUAAGGAAUAUUGGUCAAUGGACGAGAGUCUGAACGAGCCAAGUAGCGUGAAGGAUGACUGCCCUAUGGGCUGUAAACUUCUUUUAUAUGGGAAUAAAAUGUUCCACGUGUGGGAUUUUGUAUGUACCAUAUGAAUAAGGAUAGGCUAACUCCGUGCCAGUAGCCGCGGUAAUACGGAGGAUCCGAGCGUGAUCCGGAUUUAUUGGGUUUAAAGGGAGCGUAGGUGGAUUGUUAAGUCAGUUGUGAAAGUUUGCGGGUCAAUCGUAAAAUUGCAGUUGAAACUGGCAAUCUUGAGUACAGUAGAGGUGAGCGGAAUUCGUGGUGUAGCGGUGAAAUGCUUAGAUAUCACGAAGAACUCCGAUUGCGAAGGCAGCUCACUGGACUGCAACUGACACUGAGGCUCGAAAGUGUGGGUAUCAAACAGGAUUAGAUACCCGAGUAGUC
This 460-nucleotide ribosomal RNA is filed under the name uncultured bacterium. RNAcentral describes it as "partial 16S ribosomal RNA". It matches the Rfam family "Bacterial small subunit ribosomal RNA", at positions 338 to 795 of the family's 1533-position model. The record is from RNAcentral.